RNAcentral lists this long non-coding RNA (221 nucleotides) under Lathyrus oleraceus (garden pea). RNAcentral's name for it is "Pisum sativum (pea) long non-coding RNA (PSAT_LNC017415)". Lineage: Eukaryota; Viridiplantae; Streptophyta; Magnoliopsida; Fabales; Fabaceae. The record is from RNAcentral.
CUUCAAGUUGAGAUGAUGAAUCCUCUUCCCAUGAAUGAUCAGUGUAAGAUUUUGGUUCUAAAUAAUUUCUAACAUUUUUCUAAGUGAGCGUUUUUGCUGUAAACUCCUUUGCAUAAGCUUCAAACUUUGCAAAGGUAGCAUAUACAUCAUCUUUCUUGGUUGUCUUGACCUUGCAUACAAACAAAAAGAAAAUAUCUUAGUAGCAUUCCACUAGAUAAAAA